Molecule: ribosomal RNA, 253 nt
Filed under: uncultured bacterium
Lineage: Bacteria
Description: partial 16S ribosomal RNA
Rfam family: Bacterial small subunit ribosomal RNA
Source: RNAcentral
GACGAACCGAGCGAACGUUGUUCGGAAUCACUGGGCUUAAAGGGCGCGUAGGCGGGUGCUCAAGUCUGUGGUGAAAUCCUCCGGCUCAACCGGAGAACGGCCAUGGAUACUGGGUGCCUCGAGGGUGGUAGGGGUAUGCGGAACUAUCGGUGGAGCGGUGAAAUGCGUUGAUAUCGAUAGGAACUCCGGUGGCGAAGGCGGCAUACUGGACCACUUCUGACGCUGAGGCGCGAAAGCCAGGGGAGCGAACGGG